AAAGGUGAGAGGGAGGAGAGAGGGAAGUAGAGAUGAAGAGAGAAAGAGACAGAGAGAGACAGAGACACAGAGAGAGAGACAGAGAGAGAGAGACAGAGAGAGACAGAGAGAGAGAGAGAGAGAGAGAGAGAGAGAGAGAGAGAGAGAGAGAGAGAGAUUGAGUUUAUUCCCUACUCCAUAUCUGUUCUUUUCAGAUGACUCUCACUGACCCCUGGUUCAGCUGGAUUUUUCUUCUCCUCCUGGCCUGCUUACAGGACCAGCCGGUUUCAGCUGACUUCAAGGAAAAAACACCUAUCAGACCCAAGUGGCCAGGCAAGAAAGCCAGCCCUGUGACUCUCAGGAAUUACUGGAGGUCCAUGAGGCGCUUUUUGGAUUACCAAGAGAGGUUCUUAAGGAGAAGGCCAAAGAGAUUGGUGAUCCAGCACUCCAAAGACCUGACCUCUCCUUUACUCCCUAAUUUAUGGAUUCCAGAAAGACCUCACCCCAUCAAACCUCUGAUGUCCAUUCUUUCCCCUGAUAAAAAGUUCAAUCAUGGAAGCAAGUGGAUCUCUGGAUUGUCUCCCUCUCUCCCUACACGGUCAGAACUUCUCUCUGGUGAAUGGCCAGAUUCUUUGUCUGGGACAUAGACAAUAAAAUGGAAUCUCUGGCAGAGUUUCUGGGCUUUUCAGGGGGCUGUCAUAGGGGAAGGAACCUGUCUCCCUAGGGGCUGAGAGUCAUAGGUACUAGGGGAUCUUUUGGAGGAUGCAUAGGAAAGAAAGCUGAAAGACUCAUCUUUACCUUUUGACUCUUUACAGAGUUCAAUGUAAGGGAAGGAAGACUGAUUUUAAAGUCCAAAGACUUAGAUUCUAAUUUUCUCUCUGGCACUAAGUAACUCUGGACUUGUUUCUUCUCUGUGUCUCAGUUUCCUCAUCAGUAAAAUGAGGAGAUUAGAACCUUUAGGGCACUUGCCAAUUCUGAUAUUCUAUGGCAAGUCUUGAAUCAGGAUAUAGGGUGAGGAAAGGGUGGGAGAUGAAACUCCAGAGAUGUCAAGAUUAGUUAGGGAUAUGGGGGAGGGGGUCUUAGGUGAACACUAGUCUCAUCCAGAGCUUGGGCCAGGAUGAGCCAGAGUGGCUCAGAUGGGCUUACUGAAGAUGUGAGAGAGUGCUCAAAUAGAGAUUGUGUUCUUGGGUCUGAGAACUGGGUAAAUAUAGGAAGGAGGUGCCCUCCAUUACCCUAUUGACCUCAUGCUAUACUCCAGAUACCCUCAGAGCUCCAGUUCUUGUUCCUUAACCAGACUCCUUCCCUUCCAGCAGCCUUUGUGAUUCUCUGGAAUUCCCUCUCUUUCUUUUGUCCCCUCCUUCCCUCAAAUUCCUGGUCUGAGGGUCAUCAUCAUCUUUGUUCAGGAUCCUUGGUGGAUGUUGUAAAAGAGGCAAAUUUCAGACCAUAGUCAAAAAUUUGAAUGGACUACCUUGGGUGAGAGGCUGCCCAUUGCUGAUUUUCCCUUCCUCCACCCACAUCUUUAGGCAUGGAUGGAUAUUUUAGUCUAGAUGUUGUUUUUUUCUUUGUUCUCCGAGAAGACCAUGACAUCAGAAAGGUGAUACAUGACUUGCAAGUGAAUUGGAUUUAAGUGAGAGAGGCCUGUGCAAAGUCAUCAGCCUCACUAUCUUAUCUAGAGUUAUCUAAGUUCAGUGGAUCAGAAUGACUCUCCAGUCUUCCAUGGCCCUGAUUCAGUGGCCAAUUAACCUUCUUAAGUUAAGGUCUUUUCCAGGUCUCAGUUUAACCAAGACAAUGUCUAUUCAAUGAUUUAAGAUAAGUAAGAAAUGAGGCAGAGAAUGACCUCUUUUACCUAGU
This is a long non-coding RNA of Sarcophilus harrisii (Tasmanian devil), 1830 nucleotides long. The record is from Ensembl. Lineage: Eukaryota; Metazoa; Chordata; Mammalia; Dasyuromorphia; Dasyuridae.